This 161-nucleotide long non-coding RNA is filed under the name Callithrix jacchus (white-tufted-ear marmoset). Its description in RNAcentral is "lncRNA (ENSCJAG00000074323.1)". The record is from RNAcentral. Lineage: Eukaryota; Metazoa; Chordata; Mammalia; Primates; Cebidae.
CUUGCCCUUCUGCUGUCUGCCAUGGGAUGACACAGUAUGAAGGUCAUCACCACAUGUGGGCUGAUUGAUCUUGGAUUUCCAAGCCUCCAGAACUGUUUCUGGCUUUGAUGAAAGAUGUUAUCACUCCUAUCUACUGUCUUUGGAAUUCCCAGGUAUUGAGC